Molecule: unclassified non-coding RNA, 186 nt
Filed under: Funneliformis mosseae
Lineage: Eukaryota; Fungi; Glomeromycota; Glomeromycetes; Glomerales; Glomeraceae
Description: partial contains 5.8S ribosomal RNA and internal transcribed spacer 2
Rfam family: 5.8S ribosomal RNA (bases 1-71)
Source: RNAcentral
GUGAAUCAUCGAAUCUUUGAACGCAAAUUGCACUCCCUGGUAUUCCGGGGAGUAUGCCUGUUUGAGGGUCGGUAGUAUAAAAAUCGAGGCGUCGCUCUUUUUUGUGAGGGUGAUCGCGUCGGAAUUGAGCCGUCUUUCAUAUGUUAAUGCAUGUCAAAGUAGCUUAAAAGUCAUCCAUCCGGUACG